Molecule: ribosomal RNA, 858 nt
Filed under: Ooencyrtus pitosina
Lineage: Eukaryota; Metazoa; Arthropoda; Insecta; Hymenoptera; Encyrtidae
Description: partial large subunit ribosomal RNA
Rfam family: Eukaryotic large subunit ribosomal RNA
Source: RNAcentral
AAACCGUUCAGGGGUAAACCUGAGAAACCCAAAAGAUCGAAUGGGGAGAUUCAGCGCUCGGCGAUGUCUGGCUUCCGUGCGGCGUAGCGAUGUCGCGGGUAUUUCGGUAUCCGCGUCACGCCGUCGCUGCGGUAUGACCGGCGUCGUCGGCGUGCACUUCUUCCCUAGUAGGACGUCGCGACCCGUUGGGCGUCGGCCUAAGGCUCGUACGGUAGACUGUCGCGCUCCUGGCGCGUCAGACCCUCGAUCCGCCCGGCCGACUGCUCGGCGGUAAUUGUUGCUUGACAAAAUUUGAACAAGGUACAGGGCCGCAUUUGAAUGCGUUCGACUCGACUUGGAGCGCUCGCCUCGCUCGGUUUUACGGACCUAGAGCCGUUACUGGGCGCUUGGCGGUGUUUUUCCUCGACGAUGAUCUCGAACCGGCUCAGCGCGACGGGGGAGCCUCGUGCUCUCUCGCGCGCGCGAACCUGUCGGCGACGCUUUUGCUUUGGGUACUUUCAGGACCCGUCUUGAAACACGGACCAAGGAGUCUAACAUGUGCGCGAGUCAUUGGGUUCUUAAAUUUUUUUCGAAUUAAACCUAAAGGCGCAAUGAAAGUGAAGAUACGGCAGGCACUCGUGCCUCAGCCGAUCGAGGGAGGAUAGGACGGGUUACGACCUGGACUCGCACUCCCGGGGCGUCUCGUGCUCAUCGCGAGCAGAGGCGCACCCAGAGCGUACACGUUGGGACCCGAAAGAUGGUGAACUAUGCCUGGUCAGGACGAAGUCAGGGGAAACCCUGAUGGAGGUCCGUAGCGAUUCUGACGUGCAAAUCGAUCGUCGGAACUGGGUAUAGGGGCGAAAGACUAAUCGAACCAUC